RNAcentral lists this ribosomal RNA (374 nucleotides) under uncultured bacterium. RNAcentral's name for it is "bacterial SSU rRNA". It matches the Rfam family "Bacterial small subunit ribosomal RNA", at positions 524 to 898 of the family's 1533-position model. The record is from RNAcentral.
UACGUAGGGAGCGAGCGUUGUCCGGAAUUACUGGGCGUAAAGGGUGCGUAGGCGGUAGGCCAAGUCAGAUGUGAAAUCCCCGGGCUUAACUCGGGUGGUGCAUUUGAAACUGGUUUACUUGAGUGCAGGAGAGGAAAGCGGAAUUCCUAGUGUAGCGGUGAAAUGCGUAGAUAUUAGGAGGAACACCAGUGGCGAAGGCGGCUUUCUGGACUGUAACUGACGCUGAGGCACGAAAGCGUGGGGAGCAAACAGGAUUAGAUACCCUGGUAGUCCACGCUGUAAACGAUGGAUACUAGGUGUGGGGGAGAUACAACCUCCGUGCCGCAGCAAACGCAAUAAGUAUCCCGCCUGGGGAGUACGGUCGCAAGGCUGAA